CAGAUCUGCACUGUAAGAAAAAUGAGAAGAAGUCCUUAAGGCAGAAGAAAAAUAAUACCAGAUGGAUAUGUGGAUCCACAUAAAGGAAUGAAGAGCACAGGAAAUAGUAACUAUACUGUCUUGCUCUGUCACCCAGGCUGGAGUGUGGUGGUGCGAUCUUGGCUCACUGCUAGACUGGUUGGAUCCAGGUUGAUGUCCUUUUGCUUCCUUACUAUGAAUUCAAGCUGAAGUAGCAGCCUCCAGCUCAGAUGUUGACAGGCAGGCAAGGCAGCUUCCCAAAAUGAAUCCAAGCUGGAAUGAAUUGUGACUUGAAGCACUCUUGGUUGAAAAUGACUCCUCUCCAAGACAUGUGGCCCCCGGACGACAUUUGUGCUGAGGGUUGAUUCUGAAACAUAAAGGCUGUUUCUUUUCUCCAAACUUUGUUGCCAAUUUAGAGUUUAUGGAAAGAGCUGUCAAGCCGACAAGCUAUCAAAGCGAUGGGCUGCAUUGCAGGGAGCAAGGCAGAGCAUCUGGGAAAUCAAAGACCAGGAAAUGCAAAUGCACACACGUUCAUCACCUUGAUUAGUGUGAGCAAGUUUGUCUCACCCUGGCCAACAUUUGAUGGACCAUUAAAUCUGGAAAGGAUGUGGAGUCCAAGUUCUCUUUAUUCCCAAGCAAACCAACCAAAGCCCAUAGAGGGUAGGUGACUUUUAAUGGUUGAGUUGGGACUGCUAUCUUUUCUCAGGUCUAAUGCUCUUUUCAUUGUAUUUGUGUUAAAAAUAAAAAGCUUAUAUGAAAGUGACACUGAGUUGUUUACAGGCUGUGCCAUCUGUUAUAAUAAAGUAAGAUCCCUCAAAACCUUAACUACUUUUUAAAGGUAAACUCUUGAAUUUUUCCUAAACAGAG
Symphalangus syndactylus (siamang) is the source of this 885-nucleotide long non-coding RNA. RefSeq lists it as uncharacterized. The record is from RefSeq and is a predicted model, not a curated record. Lineage: Eukaryota; Metazoa; Chordata; Mammalia; Primates; Hylobatidae.